This 241-nucleotide long non-coding RNA is filed under the name Pan troglodytes (chimpanzee). RNAcentral's name for it is "long non-coding RNA NONPTRT000644". The record is from RNAcentral. Lineage: Eukaryota; Metazoa; Chordata; Mammalia; Primates; Hominidae.
GAUGCAGAAAAGGCCUUUAACAAAAUUCAACAACCCUUCUUGCUAAAAACUCUCAAUCAAUUAGGUAUUGAUGGGAUGUAUCUCAAAAUAAUAAGAGCUAUCUAUGACAAACCCAUAGCCAAUAUCAUACUGAAUGGACAAAAACUAAUACUUGUGACAGGCCCUGCCAGACCUGUGCUCAACUUCAGCUUCUUAGCCUAGGAGUAGGUCAGUAACUCAUGGUCUAGAAGCCAGGGUAUAA